Molecule: RNA transcript, 2655 nt
Organism: Siniperca chuatsi (mandarin fish)
Lineage: Eukaryota; Metazoa; Chordata; Actinopteri; Centrarchiformes; Sinipercidae
Exons: 4
Source: RefSeq, a predicted model, not a curated record
CGGCGUACAUUGAGGACGAGGAUAUUUUGAACAAACUCAAAAGUUGGGGAGUGUCAGCAUCUUCUCCCAUCAAAAGACGCAUGUGGCCGGGGACCAACGUGGCUGGCGGCACCCACUUUCUGAAGACGGACAACAUGGCAACGGAAAGAGAGACAGUCAAAUCCACAAUGGCACAGAUUAACGGACACAGAGGGAAAAUAACGAUAGAAAACGGAGAAGAUAACACCGAUAGUAAGACGAAGAAAACAGUUAAAAAGUUUGAUAAAAACUUAACGGUGUGUGUGGAAUUGCAAGGAGAAGGCAAAGUUACAACGCCAGAAUUGAAGAAAGCUGUACGGGAGUUAUGCGGGGGAUUGCUAGCAUGCCGGAUGACGGGAGAGAAAAAAUACGAGCUGACAAUGAUGAAUGAGAAAGGCAAAGAGAGACUACUGGAGGGGAUGAAGAUCGGUGAGGUUACAGCGAUGGCCAGAGAGCUAAACAACGGUGAGCUCGUUGUCUCGUUUCUAAACUUGCCGGCGUACAUUGAGGACGAGGAUAUUUUGAACAAACUCAAAAGUUGGGGAGUGUCAGCAUCUUCUCCCAUCAAAAGACGCAUGUGGCCGGGGACCAACGUGGCUGACGGCACCCGCUUUCUGAAGGACUGCAAGACAAAUUCACAGGGGUGGCAGAGGGCCCCUUUUCACACGUGAACAGGAGGAGGCCAUUUGCACCAUGGUAAUAGAAAACAAUGCAAUAAAGACUAAGGGAUAUAAAAAAGUGCCAUUAUAGAGGACAACAACAUCUUUCAAAACAGUCAGCAUCUCAACCAUUGAUAGGGUGCUGAAAAGACACCAAAUGAAUUUGAAGCAGCUCUACACUGUUCCGUUUGAAAGAAAUGGUGAAAGAGUGAAGGAGCUGUGUUACCAAUAUGUACAGCGUAUAAUGGAAUUGGAAGCAAGUGAACCACCACACAGCUUCCUCUACAUGGAUGAAGCUGGCUUCAACCUAACAAAACGUAGAAGGUGUGGUCGAAAUAUCAUCAGCCACAGAGCUACAGUUGAUGUGCCAGGCCAACGGGGCGGAAACAUAACCAUGGGUUGUGCAAUCUCUGAGAAUGGUGUGCUAACGCAUAUUCCCAUUAUUGGGCCAUACAAUACAGAGCGUCUUGUCACCUUUUUAGACACUCUCUACAGGGAUCUCAUCCCUGAACAAGAGAGGGGUCAGAUUGGAGAUGACCUGCCAAAGUAUGUGAUCGUUUGGUACAAUGUCAGUUUCCAUCGUUCCAACAUCAUCAGGCAAUGGUUUGCUGCCCAUGACAGGAUGCUGAUGGAGUUCCUCCCACCCUACUCUCCAUUCCUUAACCCCAUUGAGGAAUUUUUCUCAGCAUGGAGAUGGAAAGUAUACGAUCGUCAGCCACAUACACAAAUGACCCUUCUGGCUGCCAUGGAUGCAGCAUGUGACGACAUCACAGCAGAUGCCUGCAGAAGCUGGAUAAGACAUUCAAAAAGAUUCUUUCCACGCUGCAUUGCAAGAGAAGAUGUUCGUUGUGAUGUGGAUGAGAAUUUGUGGCUCAACAGACAGGAUCGUCAAGAGGUGUAGGAAGAUUGUAAUUCCUUAAUGUAAUUUCUACAGCACCGCAUGUAGAGUUUCCUAUGUUCACAUUUCUUCUUUAGGUUUUUUUUUGUGUGCUAUUCAGUGCUGUCUUUUCAUUUCUGUAUCUCAAUGACAUGUUCUGUCAAUAAAAUACAGUACAAACAGUAAGAGUGUAAAUUUGAAUCUUUUCCAUUCUCUUGCAAUUACACUCACACAUACACUAAGAUGUAACUUACAAUUGACAAUUAUCAUCAAAACUUUAGCCAUACUUUCCAUCAGAACAUCCCUCCAGAGUAAACUGUUAUAUUGACAACAUGACUAAACAAUUUGACUGUCUUAUCUGUACACAAUGACACAAGGACUUGUCAUUCUGAUGGCACUGACAUGUUCAUUGACACAGAUAUUUACUUUUGAGAGAUGAACUAAGGAUUUUGAGUAAGAAAGUGGCUUUUGCAGGUUAUCCAUGGUGUUUUGCUAUUUGUACAAAUUGUUUUGAGAAAUGCACUUACUGUUUUGCAAAUUGUGAGUUUGAUUCAAGAAAUGUACCAAAGCGAAUGAGAAAAACUGUAAGUGCCCGGAGUGCCAAAAGUUUUUAAAUAAAUGCGAGUGUUGGAUGGAGGAGGAGGAAAGAGGGGGGGUGGACCAGGUGAGCAGGCAGAUGCAUGAAAGAAACAACGAGGGGGAAGGAAAAUCUGAUGAAGGACAAGCUGAAGAAUGACUACAACAAAAAGAAACGUAAGAAGGAGCGAGCAACAGAGAGGAAGAGGAAAGAGACAAAGAGAAUGCGAUAAGGAACAAACAAUGGAGCAGGUCACGCAAUGGACGGAAAUGGAGAUAUCUGACCGUUUUAACACUUUUAUAGAGGACGUGGAGAGAGGAGGACAAGGAGAGGUGGAUCAAAAUAAAGAGUCGGACAGUGAAGAAGAAAUCAAGUUGGACAGCAUGGACAAAGACAGAAGGGCGAGAGGACAAGUAAGAAGGAGAGCAUUGAAGGUAAAACCAAAUUUGGAAGGUGCAAGAAAAAAAAAUAAUGACAGAAACAAGAAACAGAUAUGGUGCGUUAAAGGGACUGGAGGGAGAAAA